AUCUUGCGCAAUGGGCGAAAGCCUGACGCAGCCAUGCCGCGUGAAUGAUGAAGGUCUUAGGAUUGUAAAAUUCUUUCAGUAGGGACGAUAAUGACGGUACCUACAGAAGAAGCCCCGGCUAACUUCGUGCCAGCAGCCGCGGUAAUACGAAGGGGGCUAGCGUUGCUCGGAAUUACUGGGCGUAAAGGGCGCGUAGGCGGGUCGUUUAGUUAGAGGUGAAAGCCCAGGGCUCAACCCUGGAAUUGCCUUUAAUACUGGCGACCUAGAGUAUGACAGAGGUGUGUGGAACUCCGAGUGUAGAGGUGAAAUUCGUAGAUAUUCGGAAGAACACCAGUGGCGAAGGCGACACACUGGGUCAUUACUGACGCUGAGGCGCGAAAGCGUGGGUAGCGAACAGG
Molecule: ribosomal RNA, 398 nt
Filed under: uncultured bacterium
Lineage: Bacteria
Description: bacterial SSU rRNA
Rfam family: Bacterial small subunit ribosomal RNA
Source: RNAcentral